GGACAACCAGUCGUGCCAUCCAUGGGUGGUUGGUACAGUAUGUUUUUGGCCGCCAGAGAAGGAGGAGAAAAAGGUGGGAUUCUAUGUAAGGAAAAACAAGCCUCCUGGAAUGCACUGGCGAUUUCUUGGGUGUCAGGAAAUGGAAGCAUAUGAAAGCUGUGAGGAGGCACGAAAAAUGCUCCCCAUUGCCACAAACACCUCUGACCUCAACGGUGAGCUGGAGUACGGAAGGGGAAAAAGACGCAGAGUCAGAAGGUUGCCGUCCGACGAUGAUAGCCCUCCGCCUGUCACACCUCCCCGCCGCAGCCAACCAACAUGCAAUGAAGGCCAUGCAGCCAGCGAAAGGCACACCCAAAGGAGGAAGCAUCUUCCUGAACUUUCAGAUGAGGAGUACUCACUACCUGGCAACCCCUCCUCGUCCUCUUCGUAAACAAAAACACACAAAGGAUGUGCAACGUUCAAGCUCCUAGCCAAGCCUAUUUCAUUUGGGAGGUUCAAGUAGAGAAGGCAGACAGAGUACAAACUGUGAUGAAUCACCUGGAGCUUCGGAAAUCUGCGCGCCUGGAAGAACACAA
Molecule: long non-coding RNA, 575 nt
Organism: Ornithodoros turicata
Lineage: Eukaryota; Metazoa; Arthropoda; Arachnida; Ixodida; Argasidae
Exons: 5
Source: RefSeq, a predicted model, not a curated record